UCUCCACGUAUCAGUUUUGUAAAAACCUAACGGCUCUCUCUCUCUCACUCUCCACAAAUCCCAGAGGCCUCUCUUUCCACAUUCUCUCCGCUCUCCCUUCUCAUCUGUCCCGGCCACACCACCGAUUUCUCUCUUUCUACUCGGCAGGUUCUAUCUCUCUCCUUGGUAAGAUCUUCGUUCUCUCUCUCCUAGUUUGACUGUACUAUAUGGAGUUGCCUCUUGCAUGGGUUACCAAUGUUCAACUGCAGUUGUAGAUGCUGCUUUGGUGCUCCUUGGAAACAUAAUUUCAUAUCAUCUAUGUGAGGGAAUUGGGGAUGUUGGGGGUUAGGGAUUUGAUAGGUUGAUUAAGAUUCGAUCGAGGAGUAACAAGCUGGGUAUAUUUUGGAGUUCAACGGUCAAAACAGGUGAGAAAAAGGAAGAAAAGCAGAUCUGGUUGGCUGUUAGAAAUAACUCAGCAAUGCAGAUAUUGGUUUGUAGAUUGUGCAAGGAUUUUUAUCCUAAUCUUUUUAGGGUUCUCAGUUUGUGGAAUUAUUGUUAAACAAAAUGCCAUUGGUAAAGUGGUCAAUCUCCAAAAAGCAUCUGACAACCUAAAUCUUCAAUGCCUUUAUACACAAAAUCUUUGUUUAUUGGCAUCUGUCAUCUUGAUGUUGAGGCAAAGAAGACAACAUCGAGAGUUGAUUGAUUUGUUCCCUUUUGAGAACAAGAAUUAGAUAAUAAUUUUCAUCAUAGCUAUAGAAGGGUAUUCAAAUUGCUGGUAGAAGAUUAGAUUACUUCUCAAUUCAAUGCUUUGGAAUUUCAAAUUCCUGCAUAUGUUUCAAAGUCAUCAUGUUUAUUUUAGGAUUCUCAAUGGCUCAUCCAGGCUGUAUUUAUGAUGUGUGCAGUUAUUGCUAUUGAUCCUUGUCAGAGGUAUAAAAUCCAUCCUUUUUUUGCAGUUUGCAUUAUCAGUUAGUCAUGGUUAAUUUCUUAUUAUCUGCAGCCUUUUUGUUUAUUUGUUUUUUCUUUUUUUCGGGGAAUUGGUCAAUGCAGUACUUCAUAAUCUAUCCAGAAAGCUUAAGUACGCAUCUAUGCUGAAGGUGAUGAAUAUAAUUGUUUCUGUUCCAUAAGGCAUGGAUAUUUUGAAAAGUCAAAGGUUGCUUGUCAACUGUUGGCAGUUCUGGUCAAAAAUCACUUUGUGCCAAUCUUUGCUAUCUGUAUGGCAUUGCAUUGCAGUAAGGAAUCUGGGUGGGAAAAGGCAGCAAUUGUGCCUCAGAGUUCAAUUUUGCGUCUUGCUGAGAUAUCUGGGAGUGAACGAGACAAACUCAUAAAGGAACAUAUGGUUUGCAUCUGCUUUUCAUCUCUCUCUCUCUCUAAAAGAUUCAGAUGUGAAUAAUCUUGCGCCACUAUUUUCCCUUCUUCCUUUGCAAUUCUUUUGGUAACUGCUCUUAUGGCAUGAGUUUGAGCUCAGGACAGUCAUUGAUCCACAAAUCUAAGAGAGGUAAGGUCUUGUUCAAUGAUCUCAAAUUUGGAAAUCACCCAACGCAAAGAGUGGCAAGACUUGUGUGGCACUUGACAUUCUUAAGAGUUUAUUGCCUACCAUCAAACGUUGACCUGUUCCUGCUAGAACGUGAGGAAAGGACUCAAUUAAUCAUUUUGUGCACUUGCUGUAAUAAGACAAUGAACUAACAAUCUUACAAGAAAUCCUUCUUCUUUUUUCGUUUU
Molecule: long non-coding RNA, 1698 nt
Organism: Quercus robur (English oak)
Lineage: Eukaryota; Viridiplantae; Streptophyta; Magnoliopsida; Fagales; Fagaceae
Exons: 6
Source: RefSeq, a predicted model, not a curated record